UCUUUGCAGACACAGGAGUAAAGCCAACGUUGACUCCUAACUUGAAUACCCUAGCUCUAGUUGAGGAAGGAGGAAUCUUUCAAGCGAUGAUUGUGUAAUGCUAUUAAAAGAAAGGUUGUGGAAUCCAAGUUUGUAUUUGAAACCAAGUUCAUACAAGGUCAUUGAGUUCCAAGCUUCUUUGAUUAAUUUGUGUUUCUUGAACAACUAGUAUUGUAGUGAUCAACUAUAUGUAUGUUUAAGCAUAUAUAUGCAAUUUGUUAG
This is a long non-coding RNA of Cucumis melo (muskmelon), 261 nucleotides long. RefSeq lists it as uncharacterized. The transcript has 3 exons. NCBI's taxonomy places the organism in Eukaryota, Viridiplantae, Streptophyta, Magnoliopsida, Cucurbitales, Cucurbitaceae. The record is from RefSeq and is a predicted model, not a curated record.